UGAGGAAUAUUGGUCAAUGGGCGAGAGCCUGAACCAGCCAAGUAGCGUGAAGGAUGACAGCCCUAUGGGUUUUAAACUUCUUUUAUAAGGGAAUAAAGUGCCCCACGUGUGGGGUUUUGUAUGUACCUUAUGAAUAAGCAUCGGCUAAUUCCGUGCCAGCAGCCGCGGUAAUACGGAAGAUGCGAGCGUUAUCCGGAUUUAUUGGGUUUAAAGGGAGCGUAGGCGGUUCCAUAAGUCAGCGGUAAAAUCGUGCGGCUCAACCGUACCGUGCCGUUGAAACUGUGGGACUUGAGUAUGCGCAGG
This 303-nucleotide ribosomal RNA is filed under the name uncultured bacterium. RNAcentral's name for it is "bacterial SSU rRNA". It matches the Rfam family "Bacterial small subunit ribosomal RNA", at positions 355 to 656 of the family's 1533-position model. The record is from RNAcentral.